RNAcentral lists this unclassified non-coding RNA (790 nucleotides) under Anthonomus grandis grandis. RNAcentral describes it as "beta carbonic anhydrase 1". Lineage: Eukaryota; Metazoa; Arthropoda; Insecta; Coleoptera; Curculionidae. The record is from RNAcentral.
AAUCGGAACGCUCGCCAUUUAAUAGUCGUUUAUAGAUUUCGAGAAAAGCAUUAUAAUCAACUACAGAUUAUCUGUGUGAUAAGCUUAAUACUUUCAACUUUCAAAAUGGUCGAUUUCUUUAAUAAAUUAAAGUUCAAAUAAGCAUUUUCGUUAUCGCACUUUGUUAUACUGUAGUUAUUGAAAAAUGUGUAUGUGUAGAACCUUGACCGCUUUUGGGUUACGUCUAGAGGUCAUUUAUCCGUUUAUUUACAUGAAAAGCAAAGUCCGAACGAAAUUCGAAGAUGGAUAAGAUUUUAAAGGGAAUUAUGAAGUACAGGUGUACCGUUAGGGAGACUAUGGUGCAACAGUUUGUUAAAGUUAAAGAUAAUCCAACGCCAGAUGCCGUCUUCUUCACCUGCAUAGACAGCAGGAUGAUACCAACGAGGUUUACACAAACCAACGUGGGAGACAUGUUCACAGAAAUGCGGGUAAUAUGGUCCCACACGCAAGCUGCUUUCCUGACGAACAAAAUUCCAAUGAACCAGCUGCCUUGGAGCUUGGCUGUGUAGUCAAUGAUAUAAGGCAUAUUAUAGUUUGUGGACAUAGUGACUGUAAAGCUAUUAAUUUGCUCUAUAAACUUAGAGAUCCGGAAUUUGCAUCCAAGGAAAACAGACGAUUGUCCCCUUUAAGAUCAUGGCUUUGUACCCACGCCCAAACCUCCAUAGACAAAUUCAAUGAUCUAGAAUCUCGGGAUUUCAAUGGGCAUUUAGUGUUUCAAGCAGAGACCCCCCUAAGGAAAUUCAUAGCGUAC